This 692-nucleotide ribosomal RNA is filed under the name uncultured fungus. Its description in RNAcentral is "SSU rRNA". It matches the Rfam family "Eukaryotic small subunit ribosomal RNA", at positions 405 to 1107 of the family's 1831-position model. Lineage: Eukaryota; Fungi. The record is from RNAcentral.
GGCUACCACAUCCAAGGAAGGCAGCAGGCGCGCAAAUUACCCAAUCCCGAUACGGGGAGGUAGUGACAAUAAAUAACAAUACAGGGCUUUUCAGUCUUGUAAUUGGAAUGAGUACAAUUUAAAUCUCUUAACGAGGAACAAUUGGAGGGCAAGUCUGGUGCCAGCAGCCGCGGUAAUUUCAGCUCCAAUAGCGUAUAUUAAAGUUGUUGCAGUUAAAAAGCUCGUAGUUGAAUUUUAGGCCCGGUUGGACGGUCUGCCUUUGGGUUUGUACUGUCCUGACUGGGCCUUACCUUCUGGUGAGCUGUCGUGUUGUUUACUCAGCGCGGCAGGGAACCAGGACUUUUACUUUGAAAAAAUUAGAGUGUUUAAAGCAGGCAUUCGCUUGAAUACAUUAGCAUGGAAUAAUAGAAUAGGACUUUGGUUCUAUUUUGUUGGUUUCUAGGACCGAAGUAAUGAUUAAUAGGGAUAGUUGGGGGCAUUAGUAUUUAAUUGUCAGAGGUGAAAUUCUUGGAUUUAUGAAAGACUAACUUCUGCGAAAGCAUUUGCCAAGGAUGUUUUCAUUAAUCAAGAACGAAAGUUAGGGGAUCGAAGACGAUCAGAUACCGUCGUAGUCUUAACCAUAAACUAUGCCGACUAGGGAUCAGACAAGGAUAUUUUGACUUGUUUGGCACCUUAUGAGAAAUCAAAGUUUU